AUUGCACGCUGGCGGCAGGCCUAACACAUGCAAGUCGCACGAGUGGCGGACGGGUGAGUAAUGUCUGGGAAACUGCCCGAUGGAGGGGGAUAACUACUGGAAAAGGUAGCUAAUACCGCCUACCAUCGGAUGUGCCCAGAGGGGAUUAGCUAGUAGGUGGGGUAACGACUCACCUAGGCGACGAUCCCUAGCUGGUCUGAGAGGAUGACCAGCCAAACUGGAACUGAGACACGUUCAAGACUCCUACGGGAGGCAGCAGUGGGGAAUAUUGCACAAUGGGCGCAAGCCUGAUGCAGCCAUGCCGCGUGUAUGAAGAAGGCCUUCGGGUUGUAAAGUACUUUCAGCGAGGAGGCGUUACUCGCAGAAGAAGCACCGGCUAACUCCGUGCCAGCAGCCGCGGUAAUUC
RNAcentral lists this ribosomal RNA (406 nucleotides) under uncultured bacterium. RNAcentral describes it as "partial 16S ribosomal RNA". It matches the Rfam family "Bacterial small subunit ribosomal RNA", at positions 30 to 526 of the family's 1533-position model. The record is from RNAcentral.